RNAcentral lists this ribosomal RNA (482 nucleotides) under uncultured bacterium. RNAcentral describes it as "bacterial SSU rRNA". It matches the Rfam family "Bacterial small subunit ribosomal RNA", at positions 30 to 507 of the family's 1533-position model. The record is from RNAcentral.
AUUGAACGCUGGCGGAAUGCUUUACACAUGCAAGUCGAACGGCAGCACGGGGCAACCUGGUGGCGAGUGGCGAACGGGUGAGUAAUACAUCGGAACGUGCCCAAUCGUGGGGGAUAACGUAGCGAAAGUUACGCUAAUACCGCAUACGAUCUACGGAUGAAAGCGGGGGAUCGCAAGACCUCGCGCGAAUGGAGCGGCCGAUGUCAGAUUAGGUAGUUGGUGGGGUAAAGGCUCACCAAGCCAACGAUCUGUAGCUGGUCUGAGAGGACGACCAGCCACACUGGAACUGAGACACGGUCCAGACUCCUACGGGAGGCAGCAGUGGGGAAUUUUGGACAAUGGGCGCAAGCCUGAUCCAGCCAUUCCGCGUGCAGGACGAAGGCCUUCGGGUUGUAAACUGCUUUUGUACGGAACGAAAAGGUCUUCUCUAAUACAGAGGGCCCAUGACGGUACCGUAAGAAUAAGCACCGGCUAACUACGUG